This 51-nucleotide ribosomal RNA is filed under the name uncultured bacterium. RNAcentral's name for it is "partial 16S ribosomal RNA". The record is from RNAcentral.
CGCUAACCCGCAAGGAGGCAGCCCGACGAGGUAGGGUCAGCGACUGGGGUG